UUAAGCGACUAAGCGUACACGGUGGAUGCCCUGGCAGUCAGAGGCGAUGAAGGACGUGCUAAUCUGCGAUAAGCGUCGGUAAGGUGAUAUGAACCGUUAUAACCGGCGAUUUCCGAAUGGGGAAACCCAGUGUGAUUCGUCACACUAUCAUUAACUGAAUCCAUAGGUUAAUGAGGCGAACCGGGGGAACUGAAACAUCUAAGUACCCCGAGGAAAAGAAAUCAACCGAGAUUCCCCCAGUAGCGGCGAGCGAACGGGGACAGCCCAGAGCCUGAAUCAGUGUGUGUGUUAGUGGAAGCGUCUGGAAAGGCGUGCGAUACAGGGUGACAGCCCCGUACACAAAAAUGCACAUACUGUGAGCUCGAUGAGUAGGGCGGGACACGUGGUAUCCUGUCUGAAUAUGGGGGGACCAUCCUCCAAGGCUAAAUACUCCUGACUGACCGAUAGUGAACCAGUACCGUGAGGGAAAGGCGAAAAGAACCCCGGCGAGGGGAGUGAAAAAGAACCUGAAACCGUGUACGUACAAGCAGUGGGGGCACGCUUAGGCGUGUGACUGCGUACCUUUUGUAUAAUGGGUCAGCGACUUAUAUUCUGUAGCAAGGUUAACCGAAUAGGGGAGCCGAAGGGAAACCGAGUCUUAACUGGGCGUUAAGUUGCAGGGUAUAGACCCGAAACCCGGUGAUCUAGCCAUGGGCAGGUUGAAGGUUGGGUAACACUAACUGGAGGACCGAACCGACUAAUGUUGAAAAAUUAGCGGAUGACUUGUGGCUGGGGGUGAAAGGCCAAUCAAACCGGGAGAUAGCUGGUUCUCCCCGAAAGCUAUUUAGGUAGCGCCUCGUGAAUUCAUCUCCGGGGGUAGAGCACUGUUUCGGCAAGGGGGUCAUCCCGACUUACCAACCCGAUGCAAACUGCGAAUACCGGAGAAUGUUAUCACGGGAGACACACGGCGGGUGCUAACGUCCGUCGUGAAGAGGGAAACAACCCAGACCGCCAGCUAAGGUCCCAAAGUCAUGGUUAAGUGGGAAACGAUGUGGGAAGGCCCAGACAGCCAGGAUGUUGGCUUAGAAGCAGCCAUCAUUUUAAGAAAGCGUAAUAGCUCACUGGUCGAGUCGGCCUGCGCGGAAGAUGUAACGGGGCUAAACCAUGCACCGAAGCUGCGGCAGCGACGCUUAUGCGUUGUUGGGUAGGGGAGCGUUCUGUAAGCCUGUGAAGGUGUGCUGUGAGGUAUGCUGGAGGUAUCAGAAGUGCGAAUGCUGACAUAAGUAACGAUAAAGCGGGUGAAAAGCCCGCUCGCCGGAAGACCAAGGGUUCCUGUCCAAACGUUAAUCGGGGCAGGGUGAGUCGACCCCUAAGGCGAGGCCGAAAGGCGUAGUCGAUGGGAAACAGGUUAAUAUUCCUGUACUUGGUGUUACUGCGAAGGGGGGACGGAGAAGGCUAUGUUGGCCGGGCGACGGUUGUCCCGGUUUAAGCGUGUAGGCUGGUUUUCCAGGCAAAUCCGGAAAAUCAAGGCCGAGGCGUGAUGACGAGGCACUACGGUGCUGAAGCAACAAAUGCCCUGCUUCCAGGAAAAGCCUCUAAGCAUCAGGUAACAUCAAAUCGUACCCCAAACCGACACAGGUGGUCAGGUAGAGAAUACCAAGGCGCUUGAGAGAACUCGGGUGAAGGAACUAGGCAAAAUGGUGCCGUAACUUCGGGAGAAGGCACGCUGAUACGUAGGUGAAGCGACUUGCUCGUGGAGCUGAAAUCAGUCGAAGAUACCAGCUGGCUGUAACUGUUUAUUAAAAACACAGCACUGUGCAAACACGAAAGUGGACGUAUACGGUGUGACGCCUGCCCGGUGCCGGAAGGUUAAUUGAUGGGGUUAGCGCAAGCGAAGCUCUUGAUCGAAGCCCCGGUAAACGGCGGCCGUAACUAUAACGGUCCUAAGGUAGCGAAAUUCCUUGUCGGGUAAGUUCCGACCUGCACGAAUGGCGUAAUGAUGGCCAGGCUGUCUCCACCCGAGACUCAGUGAAAUUGAACUCGCUGUGAAGAUGCAGUGUACCCGCGGCAAGACGGAAAGACCCCGUGAACCUUUACUAUAGCUUGACACUGAACAUUGAGCCUUGAUGUGUAGGAUAGGUGGGAGGCUUUGAAGUGUGGACGCCAGUCUGCAUGGAGCCGACCUUGAAAUACCACCCUUUAAUGUUUGAUGUUCUAACGUGGACCCGUGAUCCGGGUUGCGGACAGUGUCUGGUGGGUAGUUUGACUGGGGCGGUCUCCUCCUAAAGAGUAACGGAGGAGCACGAAGGUUGGCUAAUCCUGGUCGGACAUCAGGAGGUUAGUGCAAUGGCAUAAGCCAGCUUGACUGCGAGCGUGACGGCGCGAGCAGGUGCGAAAGCAGGUCAUAGUGAUCCGGUGGUUCUGAAUGGAAGGGCCAUCGCUCAACGGAUAAAAGGUACUCCGGGGAUAACAGGCUGAUACCGCCCAAGAGUUCAUAUCGACGGCGGUGUUUGGCACCUCGAUGUCGGCUCAUCACAUCCUGGGGCUGAAGUAGGUCCCAAGGGUAUGGCUGUUCGCCAUUUAAAGUGGUACGCGAGCUGGGUUUAGAACGUCGUGAGACAGUUCGGUCCCUAUCUGCCGUGGGCGCUGGAGAACUGAGGGGGGCUGCUCCUAGUACGAGAGGACCGGAGUGGACGCAUCACUGGUGUUCGGGUUGUCAUGCCAAUGGCACUGCCCGGUAGCUAAAUGCGGAAGAGAUAAGUGCUGAAAGCAUCUAAGCACGAAACUUGCCCCGAGAUGAGUUCUCCCUGACCCUUUAAGGGUCCUGAAGGAACGUUGAAGACGACGACGUUGAUAGGCCGGGUGUGUAAGCGCAGCGAUGCGUUGAGCUAACCGGUACUAAUGAACCGUGAGGCUUAACCUU
This 2902-nucleotide ribosomal RNA is filed under the name Shigella flexneri 2747-71. RNAcentral's name for it is "bacterial LSU rRNA". It matches the Rfam family "Bacterial large subunit ribosomal RNA". Lineage: Bacteria; Pseudomonadati; Pseudomonadota; Gammaproteobacteria; Enterobacterales; Enterobacteriaceae. The record is from RNAcentral.